This 496-nucleotide ribosomal RNA is filed under the name uncultured delta proteobacterium. RNAcentral's name for it is "bacterial SSU rRNA". It matches the Rfam family "Bacterial small subunit ribosomal RNA", at positions 9 to 524 of the family's 1533-position model. The record is from RNAcentral. Lineage: Bacteria; Deltaproteobacteria.
GAGUUUGAUCGUGGCUCAGAACGAACGCUGGCGGCAGGCUUAACACAUGCAAGUCGAACGCGUGUAGCAAUACACGAGUGGCGCACGGGUGAGUAACGCGUGGAUAUCUGCCUUUUGGUUCGGAAUAACCCCGGGAAACUGGGGCUAAUACCGGAUGGUUCCUUCGGGAUAAAGAUUUAUCGCCAAAAGAUGAGUCCGCGUACGAUUAGCUAGUUGGUGAGGUAAUGGCUCACCAAGGCGACGAUCGUUAGCUGGUCUGAGAGGACGAUCAGCCACACUGGAACUGAGACACGGUCCAGACUCCUACGGGAGGCAGCAGUGGGGAAUUUUUCGCAAUGGGCGCAAGCCUGACGAAGCAACGCCGCGUGGAGGAUGAAGGUCUUCGGAUUGUAAACUCCUGUCGACCGGGACGAAUGCACCCGACCUAAUACGUCGGAGUGUUGACGGUACCGGUGGAGGAAGCCACGGCUAACUCUGUGCCAGCCGCCGCUGUAAG